This 404-nucleotide ribosomal RNA is filed under the name uncultured bacterium. RNAcentral describes it as "bacterial SSU rRNA". It matches the Rfam family "Bacterial small subunit ribosomal RNA", at positions 30 to 429 of the family's 1533-position model. The record is from RNAcentral.
UUGAACGCUGGCGGCAGGCCUAACACAUGCAAGUCGAACGGUAACAGGAAGAAGCUUGCUUCUUUGCUGACGAGUGGCGGACGGGUGAGUAAUGUCUGGGAAACUGCCUGAUGGAGGGGGAUAACUACUGGAAACGGUAGCUAAUACCGCAUAACGUCGCAAAACCAAAGAGGGGGACCUUCGGGCCUCUUGCCAUCGGAUGUGCCCAGAUGGGAUUAGCUAGUAGGUGGGGUAACGGCUCACCUAGGCGACGAUCCCUAGCUGGUCUGAGAGGAUGACCAGCCACACUGGAACUGAGACACGGUCCAGACUCCUACGGGAGGCAGCAGUGGGGAAUAUUGCACAAUGGGCGCAAGCCUGAUGCAGCCAUGCCGCGUGUAUGAAGAAGGCCUUCGGGUUGUAAA